AUUGAACACUGGCGGAAUGCUUUACAAAUGCAAGUCGAACGGUAGAGGGGGCAACCCCUCGAGAGUGGCGAACGGGUGAGUAAUAUAUCGGAACGUGCCCAGUCGUGGGGGAUAACGUAGCGAAAGUUACGCUAAUACCGCAUACGAUCUAAGGAUGAAAGCGGGGGAUAGCAAGACCUCGCGCGAUUGGAGCGGCCGAAAUCAGAUUAGGUAGUUGGUGGGGUAAAGGCUCACCAAGCCAACGAUCUUUAAAUGGUCUGAGAGGACGAACAACCACAAUGGAACUUCGAAACGGUCCAGACUCCUCAGGGAGGCAGCCGUGGGGACUUUUGGACAAUGGACGCAAGUCUGAACCAGCCAUUCCGCGGGCAGGAUGAAGUCCCUCGUGUUGUAAACUGCUUUUGUACGGAACGAAAAGGUCUCUCUUAAUACGGGGGACUCAUGACGGUACCGUAAGAAUAAGCACCGGCUAACUACGUGCCAGCAGCCGCCGCCG
Molecule: ribosomal RNA, 496 nt
Filed under: uncultured bacterium
Lineage: Bacteria
Description: partial 16S ribosomal RNA
Rfam family: Bacterial small subunit ribosomal RNA
Source: RNAcentral